RNAcentral lists this ribosomal RNA (309 nucleotides) under uncultured bacterium. RNAcentral's name for it is "bacterial SSU rRNA". It matches the Rfam family "Bacterial small subunit ribosomal RNA", at positions 28 to 335 of the family's 1533-position model. The record is from RNAcentral.
GAUGAACGCUGGCGGCGUGCAUAACACAUUCAAGUCGAACGGACGAGGCCCUUCGGGGCUGAGUUAGUGGCGGGCGGGUGAGUAACGCGUGAGGAACCUGCCUUCCAGUGGGGGGACAACAGUUGGAAACGACUGCUAAUACCGCAUGACAUAUCCGAAGGGCAUCCUUUGGAUAUCAAAGCUUUAUGUGCUGGAAGAUGGCCUCGCGUCUGAUUAGAUAGUUGGUGGGGUAACGGCCUACCAAGUCGACGAUCAGUAGCCGGUCUGAGAGGAGUGGCCGGCCACAUUGGAACUGAGACACGGUCCCAA